This 253-nucleotide ribosomal RNA is filed under the name uncultured bacterium. RNAcentral's name for it is "partial 16S ribosomal RNA". It matches the Rfam family "Bacterial small subunit ribosomal RNA", at positions 524 to 776 of the family's 1533-position model. The record is from RNAcentral.
UACGUAGGUCCCGAGCGUUAUCCGGAUUUAUUGGGUGUAAAGGGCGUGUAGGCGGGAGCGCAAGUCAGAUGUGAAAACUCAGGGCUCAACCCUGAGCCUGCAUUUGAAACUGUGUUUCUUGAGUGCUGGAGAGGCAAUCGGAAUUCCGUGUGUAGCGGUGAAAUGCGUAGAUAUACGGAGGAACACCAGUGGCGAAGGCGGAUUGCUGGACAGUAACUGACGCUGAGGCGCGAAAGCGUGGGGAGCAAACAGG